This is a long non-coding RNA of Hyla sarda, 605 nucleotides long. RefSeq lists it as uncharacterized. The record is from RefSeq and is a predicted model, not a curated record. NCBI's taxonomy places the organism in Eukaryota, Metazoa, Chordata, Amphibia, Anura, Hylidae. The transcript is spliced from 3 exons.
ACAGAGCGUCAUGUCAUGCCCGAGGCUGCUGAUUGGCGGCAGCAGCAGUCACAUGACACCGGGGUGCCAAAAGAACACAUCAGAAGCUGAACACUGCAGGCAGAAUUGGGGGUCAGCAUGGGAACGGAGGUGGAGAGCAAACAUAAGGUAGAAGCCGUGCAGCACCAACCAGGUACAUGACAAGUGCCGCCGAUGCAGCAAGGAGGGCAAAGAAAGCACCUGAGAAAAGGACGUGGUUUAAGAACGCUCCGUCACAGUCUGCUCUGCGCUCCUCCCAGCUCUACAGGAAGUGCUGCUCACUUUACCUGGGCAGCAAGGAAUUUGACCCGCUCACAGGUUGCUGUAGUAGAAACCAUGAUGUCACUGCGGAGCAACAGGAUCGGGCGGGGAUUGAUCUCCUGCUAGACUAGCAGCAGAAGGCUUGGCACUCAGUCUGCUCUGCCUCCCAGCCAGGCUGCCACUUCAUUACCUCUCACCCAUCGUGUGCUACAAGCGUAAUCCUGCACCCUUCCAGUGCUGGAAAGCAUCAAAAUGCAAAAGCACCGCAGUGCCACAUAACAACACUUAUUUAUAUAGCACCAAUACAAGUAUACAUACCAAUUGGA